RNAcentral lists this long non-coding RNA (1173 nucleotides) under Equus caballus (horse). RNAcentral's name for it is "lncRNA (ENSECAG00000059838.1)". Lineage: Eukaryota; Metazoa; Chordata; Mammalia; Perissodactyla; Equidae. The record is from RNAcentral.
AAAGAUCCCAGAAGACACUGCUUUUUAAAGUAUAAUACAAGUUAUAUUUGUUUUAUUUAUUAACAAAAUUGGAAAAUAAAGGAAAUGUAAGUAAUUUAUAAUCUUCAUUCUUUAACAUAUCACAAGUUAGCAUUGCAUUGAAUUUCCUUCAAAUUGUGGUGUUCUGUUUGAUUUUUUUGUGUCUAUGGAAAGUCUCUAGAACCUCAGCCUGAGAACCGGUGCCCUGAGGUGCUCCUGUUCACCUUGAGAGGGUCGGGAGGGCAGGACUGGGUCCUGCAAGACGAGCAUGUGGAGCCCCUGCAGGGAUACCUUUCACAAAGAACACGGUGUGACCUGCACCUCCUGGGGUCAGGCACGUGGCGGCCCUGUGAGCACCUCCAGCCCUCUCCUCCAAAUUCCGGAGCCAGUGGAGGGCUCAGCCUAGCAAACUCAGGGCCGUCCACGGACCGGGUCUCCACUUCCUGGGCAUGUUGUCGGGACAGCCUUCACCUGCCAGCAGGACCUUAACCAUCAUCUCUGUCCCUGCACGGCCGCGUGCGCCAGCGGCCACACCAGCGCUCUCCUCGGGGUUUCUGGUUCCCUUGAAGUGCGCUUAUCUGCCGUUGGCUCUUCUUCUUCCGCUCGCCACACUCACAUUUCCUCUUCUCGUUCUCUUUCAGCCCCUUUUCCUUCCUUGAUUCGUUCUCUUGACUCCAGGACAAGAGGAUGUCUGAAGUCAGAUUCCUAGUAGAAUGAUCUCUUUUAAGAAAAACUGCAUAACCUUGAUAGCUGUAAGGCAGAAAACAAUCAUGUGUGUCCAGGGCCACCCAGGGCAGGAGGACACCAUGUGGGGUGCCCAGGGCAGAGCCAGGCUUCACGGGGGCCCCAAACAGGGGACCCAGCUCUUCUGACUCCCAGCCCAGCUCCCUGCCCGAGCCAGUCAGGGCUUCUCAACACGGUUCAAUGUGCAGCCCGUGGUCAGAGCCAGGGCGAUGCCAAGAAAGUGGGAGAGGAGGGCUGCGGACAGUCAGACUCUGAGACCCAAGGACCUCAAGUGCCUGGACGAGACCAGGUCCUUCAGGAGGAGAACCGUCAAAAGAGGGAAUUCAAAGGGCUACAAAGAGGAGCUGAAGGAUGGGAAAUAAAUGGAAUAAAAGCAGCAGAAGUAGGAGAUAAAUUACAUGCAGACGGCUG